RNAcentral lists this ribosomal RNA (429 nucleotides) under Gemmatimonadota bacterium. RNAcentral describes it as "Gemmatimonadetes bacterium partial 16S ribosomal RNA". It matches the Rfam family "Bacterial small subunit ribosomal RNA", at positions 355 to 776 of the family's 1533-position model. Lineage: Bacteria; Pseudomonadati; Gemmatimonadota. The record is from RNAcentral.
UAGGGAAUCUUCGGCAAUGGACGAAAGUCUGACCGAGCAACGCCGCGUGAGUGAAGAAGGUUUUCGGAUCGUAAAACUCUGUUGUUAGAGAAGAACAAGGACGUUAGUAACUGAACGUCCCCUGACGGUAUCUAACCAGAAAGCCACGGCUAACUACGUGCCAGCAGCCGCGGUAAUACGUAGGUGGCAAGCGUUGUCCGGAUUUAUUGGGCGUAAAGCGAGCGCAGGCGGUUUCUUAAGUCUGAUGUGAAAGCCCCCGGCUCAACCGGGGAGGGUCAUUGGAACCUGGGAGACUUGAGUGCAGAAGAGGAGAGUGGAAUUCCAUGUGUAGCGGUGAAAUGCGUAGGUAUAUGGAGGAACACCAGUGGCGAAGGCGGCUCUCUGGUCUGUAACUGACGCUGAGGCUCGAAAGCGUGGGGAGCAAACAGG